AAGUCACUUUCAUGAAAGCUUCCAAGAAGAAACCUUUCUGGAAGAUUCAAUUGGGAUAAUGUAUUAUUGUAAAUGAACGCCACUUUCCCCAUCAGUGCUCCAAAAUCCUUUCCCAGGUUGACAAAUUUUCAUUAGCAAGCUUUCUGAUCUUUAAUGGAUUCUUUCUGUUGAUACUUUUUCAAGUCUUUUGCCAUUUUACAGGAACUCAUUCAGAAGCAACCAGUUUCAUUCAUUUAUCGGGAUGACUGGAAUAUAGCUCAAGUGAUAUAAGAACAUCAACGCAUGAUGAAGGUGGGAUGACCCCUUUCAACACAUCAUCUAGUGGUAAUGCUCUGUUUCUUACCCGCCUUGUUUAAGAAAUGAUAGCAUACCUUUAUGUGUCUUUGGGAUGUUCAAGAGACAUUGAGGGUGUCCAUAUGAACCUGAGAGUAAUGGAAUGACCUUAUCUUUACAUCACAGCUGUGAACCUGAGGUUUCAACUUUGUUGCAAUUGACUGGUAAAGUACAUGUCAGAUGAACAUAUGUACAAGCCUGUGUUGCGUAUGGGCUUCUUUCGGCUUUCUGGAUGGGCUUAAGUUUGUUCUUCUCUAUGACUAGCCAUGUUGACCCCAGGUAUUGUUUUUACCUCACUUCCUUUAUAAAUAUGGAGACUCAUAUUGCAUUAUUCCCUUGAAGAGAUAUUUCAAGUAGAUUUUUUGUUAAUGAUGUGCAUUUUUCUCUUGCAUCCAUCUGAUUAGAUUUACCAAAACCAAUUAGAGCUCAAAUCCCUUAUGAGCCCAACAAAUACUUCUAAAAUCCCUUAAUUUUUAGCAAGUCAAAUUGUUCAACUUCUUUGUCCCAUUGGCCAUUUCGUCUAUGAUCAUGGUCUAACCUCUGUUACUGCGAACCUAAAAUAUUUAUUUGUUACUUAAAGUUGUUCAACUUCUUUGUCCCGUUGCUUUGUGUUUUCAGUUUUGUUUUCCAACGUACAGAUUAAAUUCAUUGUCUGUUAGCUUUGAAUUGUCAAGUAGUACUUAAAAGGCAAGGUCAGACGGUGAAAGAAAGUAGGGAAGCAAUGGAUGGACGGGUAGGCUUUAGACUCUGGAAAGAGCACAGAAACAAAACAACUAAAAAUUUGCCGAUAACACAGAAAUCGAGAUUUGUUUCUGCGCUCUUUUCUACCUUGCCUCUCUUGCGUCUUUUUGCCUUCUAUCUAUCUAUAGUUUUCUCUCUCUCAACCCACCCAGAGAGCACAUGAUCUUUUCUUAAACCCAGCUCUCUUUGUGAAAGAAACAGAAACCCAAUUCACAUGCAGCUCCUAUGAACCAAAAACAGCAGACCCCCUUUAUCAUAUGCUUUUAGUCGUCUAGUAUUUGUACUCAUCAUACAACUACUAUAUGCUAAGAGAGAUGGACCAAGGACUUGUCUUUCUUAACCAUCAUGACAAAAAGCUAGGGAAGUAGUAUCAUGUAUAUAUGUGUAUAGAAAAGAAAGGAGGAAGCCUCUCAUGCGUCCUUCUCGAUGGGAGGAAAGUGGCAUUCAUUGAUAUUUAAUAUAUAACAUGAAUUGACAACUGAAUUUGGAGGAGUACACAUAUUGAAAGAGAAACAAUGGAGGGAGAGAGUACUAUCCAUCCUCGCCUCUUGUUUUUUUUCCGAAACAUCCAAAACAAUGCAUUAAAAUUGUAACAGUUCACGAAUCGAGCAGAGUUGGCUCAAGUUUGGCUCGUUAGUUUUAAGGCGAGCUCGAGUUAGAAAAUUUUAGCUCAUGUCGAACUCGACUGUUCGAGCCUAUUCCAGUUUGGCUCGUUAACUAAACUUAAGGAGCCAAACUCUAGCUCAACCCGAACUUCGCUCAUUCACAAGCUUCAUGAUGAGUCCAAUUUGAGCUGAAUUUGAAAAUUGUACACUAAAAAACAUCGACGAGCCAAAGCUAAAAUCCAAGGAAUUUUAAAAUUUACAAGUUUCUCAUUUUUUCAAUGAAAAUAGUUAAACCAUGUAGUAUUUUCAUUUUCAUCAACACAAUAAAAAAAUACAUAUUAUUUAUUUGUAUAUGGUAUUCGAGCAGAUACACGUUGCAUUAUUGAGUCUACUAACAAACCAUAUACUCGAGCUGGUAUUCGAAUUGGGUCUCGAGUUUGAGCCCGAGCCAGCUCGUAAUCCUAUAUCAUCAAACAUAUUUUGACUCAAGUUUGGCUCAUUUAUCGAGUCGAAUCACUAAUGAGCUUUUAUCGAGCGGAACAUCAAGCUGCUUAGCUCGUCGACACAAAACCAAAAAUUGAUAACAACUUUUAAAAGCCAAUAAUUGCAGAGGCAGGCUGGCAACGACUCCUUCUGCCUUCUGAGCAACAACGGUCAAUGUAGUGUUUGAAAAGGGUGGGUUUAUAGUACAACGCCUGCCUGUGGCUGGGGCUGGCUACGCAGUAUGCAUCCUCCUUUACUCGUCAAGUCUCAGCAGUGUACACAGUAUUCGUUUGGUGAGGGUUUGGGCACGACAAAGAGAGAGAGGCUUGCUUCUUCCUUUUUCCCUGAGAGUCCUCUCUCUAUGCACCUGUCAUGCAUUGCCGCCCUAUAUUUCCACCAGCUGUAACUCUCCUGCUCCAAUGCUUAUGAUACAUCCAUGUCUGUAGCCUUCUGACCCGCUAGUUAAGCUAUUGUUUAGCCUUUCUCUCUUUCUAUCUCGCAAGUCUCUUUCCUCUUAGCUGUCUAUCAGCGUGGUGCUUCCCUUUUAAUUUACUGUUCCGAGAAGUGGGUUUACUGCCUUUAUUGCUUUUUCAUCGAACUCCUUUUAACACGUUCGCUUCCUUCUUUGGUCCUUCCUCUAUAUAUUUUACUCAACUCCCUUCAUCCAAUUCUAUGGAGCCCCAAAACAUAACUACCAUCAUCUUUAUCCCCUUUUCUCAUUGUCCAUGCUAUUUGAGUUGUUUUGGAAACGAUAAUCCUAAUAGCACUUCUGUAUUGUUAUUAUUUUGAAACAUUUCACUUCAUUCAUCGUUUGCGUCUUUACACUAGGAAAAUGGAUCUCCUUUCUGAUCUGUUGAAAUGUAUUUCCUUUACUUCGGUUGUCUGUUUUCUUUCUACCAAUUCUGGACGAGUUAGGAGAUUAGAGAUCCAUAUCUGGUUGGUUCUUGUCUGUGUUUCUUUUGAUCUUUUCCAUCUUACUCCAGUGUCAAUAUAAAGAAAACAGUUAAGAGUAUAUCUACUUAUUACUUCUUCAGUGCAAGUAAAGUCUAGUAUGAUUUCUGAAUGAUUUCCUUGUUCUGGUUGGAUAAUUUGAGGCUUCCAUCUUUAGCUCAGUUGAAACUCGUAUUAUUUUUUGAUUUUAGCGGAUUUAACUGCAUUUUUGUUUUCUGAUUUGAGGUGGGGUUUUAUGUUUGGAAAAUAUGAUUUUAUUCAUGAAAGAGAUUCUCAUGUUCCUGUUAAUGUUAUUUCCCAUUUAUGUAUAUUGUCGAGGCUUGUGAGUUGAGUUGAUGUCGUGUGAGGAAGAAGAAAUUGUCCACAAGGGAAGCAGUGAAGCUGCCAGCAUGAUCUAGCUUUGGCUAGUUUGCAACGAAAGUAAAAUGAGAUAGUAGUAGUGAGCUAGCCCUAGCUAGGUCAUGCUAUGACAGCCUCAUUCCUUCCCAAUGUGGGGGACCCCAAUAGACCAAGAUUCUCAUCUUUUUUACACUGUUCAGUCACUUCUUGGAAUGUUUUGAACGAGACAGAAAACAAAGUCGAAGAAAUAAUAAAUCACUGUAAAGUAUAUUCCUUAUCUUUUGCAUCUCCUUCCAUGGUGUUGUCUGGCAUGCGCUUACUUGCUUUCAACUGUUUUUAUUCUCACCACUGUGUUGUAUCAGUUGGUCCAAUGUUCGUCAAUUUGUGUGUUUACUUCGGUUUCUGAAGGAAAUAUCAAAUAGUGGAGUGGAUAUUAUCGCAGGAAUUAAGAAGCCAGUGAUAGAAACCAAACCAAUGGAAGCAGGAUACAAAUAGGAUCCCAAGGAGUGAAGUCUGUUCUAUCUGCUCGUUAACUUUGCUGAAGGAAGUUCCUCUCAGUUUCACCAUUUUGCACAGUCGUAGUAGGUGGUUGUUUAUUUGCUGAAGAACUGGUAAUUCUUUGCACCUUUUUAGCAGUUAGUUAUAGAUAAAACAAAUUGUAUAUAGACAUUACAGUUUGUACAUAAAUCUAGUGACCAAUCUGGUUAUGUGACUUCUUCUGCCAUUUCCCUAAUAUAUGAGGAUGUACCACCAAUAAGGUUGAUUCGUAUUUGGUGAACGUACACUCGGUCUACCAAUAUCCCUGAUUUUUAAUGCCUUUUUUAUUUUCCCGAAAAUAAUUUAAUUUGAAAAAAGAAAAUGCUUAAUUAUCACUUGACUUAAUUUCAAUUAGUAUUAGGUCAUGUUUAAUUUUAGCUUUUCAUUUUAAUAUUUGGUGUUGGUUUUUUCAUGUUUGAACAUCUAGAUAUUAACAUCCCACUUACAAAUCAUUUUAAUAUUUUUAUGUGAAUUUACGAAUUGAU
RNAcentral lists this long non-coding RNA (4474 nucleotides) under Linum usitatissimum (flax). RNAcentral describes it as "long non-coding RNA (LUSI_LNC002682)". The stretch from base 3477 to 3603 matches the Rfam family "MIR167 microRNA precursor family". Lineage: Eukaryota; Viridiplantae; Streptophyta; Magnoliopsida; Malpighiales; Linaceae. The record is from RNAcentral.